This 446-nucleotide ribosomal RNA is filed under the name Pneumocystis wakefieldiae. RNAcentral's name for it is "partial small subunit ribosomal RNA". It matches the Rfam family "Bacterial small subunit ribosomal RNA", at positions 957 to 1284 of the family's 1533-position model. Lineage: Eukaryota; Fungi; Ascomycota; Pneumocystomycetes; Pneumocystales; Pneumocystaceae. The record is from RNAcentral.
ACCCACGACAAAUCUUACCACUUCUUGCAUAUUCUAGUUCAGAGUUAAUGUGAAGAUAAUUUUAUUUAUAAAUACUUAUACUAGUAUUAUGAAUGGAUUUUAAAUUCCCUUAACUACACUUGAAUACAGGUGUUGCAUGGCUGUCUUUAGUUCGUGUUGUGAAAUGUUAGGUUCAUUCCGUGAACGAACGUAAUCCUUAUCUUUAAUUACAAUGACAGAAUAAAAUUCAAUUGGAAUUUAUUGGAAUUCCAUUUGAAUUCCGAAUGAAUAUUUAAUAAAAUUCAUUCUGGAAGCGUUCACUCAAUUAAAGAAGUAUCUUUUGAUAAGAAAGAAUAAUUAGGCCGAAGACAAGUCCUCAUGACCCUUAUGGAGUGGGCUACAGACGUGCCACAAAGAUUUCUACAAAGGGAAGCAAAGAUGGAAGUCCGAGCAAAUCCUCAAAAGAA